This is a long non-coding RNA of Mesocricetus auratus (golden hamster), 8169 nucleotides long. RefSeq lists it as uncharacterized. Lineage: Eukaryota; Metazoa; Chordata; Mammalia; Rodentia; Cricetidae. The record is from RefSeq and is a predicted model, not a curated record. The transcript is spliced from 4 exons.
AAGUCUAGUUUUCCACCAGUGCUUCCAGACAAUUUGAGUUGAAUGAACAAAUAUGAGGGACACAGUCACCCUUUGUGACAAACAUGUUGUCCCAGUGUCCUCCUGCUUUUGAGGCAUCUAGACUGGGGCUGGGCUUGAUGGGAAGACCUCUCCCUGGACCAGUCCUGCACCCUUGAAAACUAAAGCAGAAAAGAGAGGAACGUGACCACAGCCACAGAGAGAACAAAGGAUAUUUGGGAGUUAUUUAUUUGCUUCUUCCCUAGGACCCACUCCCACGAGACUGGCCCGUUGCAGUAGGGGACCCACGCACCCGGGCCUUCUGUCUGGCACUGCCGCCCUGGAUUUUGAGUCUUCUCUGGAUGUAUUCAUGCGCUCUCAUGACUCUGUGCAUCCUACGUAGCGGGAUGAUCUGACCUGAGCCCCGGCCACGCCUCCAGGACCUUGCAUUUGUUCAAUACUGCCUAGUCUGUCGUGUGCAGAGAGGGUGCUCAAUGCACCGAGUAGACUGCAUCCCAGUAAACACACGUUUACUGAGUGCAUGCGGGCCUUGGUUGCUGGACAUGGAAGAUGGCUGCCACGCGUGUUUAUGAAAAGAUGUAGCUCACAAGGAGCCUAGUGAAGGGCAGAGGGAAGAUGACGCAACCUCUGCACCGUGCAUUCCUUAAGGGGAUAGCUGCAUCUGGCUUUGGGAAACCAGGGAAGUAUAAGGCAACAAUGUGUCCUUUUGCCAUGAUCUGCACAGCUUAGGGGCUGAUCUAACUGGGGCAGCUGGGAAUAAAGAAAAGGCAGGCAGACACAGGCACAGGAAAGCUGAGGUCAGGAGGGUCAUGCCCGCCGAUGGACAUGCACUAGUUACAGGCGGAACUCGUCAGUUUAUUCCUCUGCGUUGAGGGGGUGGGUUUGUUGUGUACAGCUGAAGAAGAUGGUGGUUUAACUGGUCUUGGUGGGUGUUUCUGUUGGGGAGCACUCUCAGGCUGUAAACCCCGGGGAGGAGCAAGCCUCCACGGGCAUUUUCUGCACACAUUGUUGACAUCCACACGUGGACCAGGGGAGGUCUUUACUACUCCUGUGAGUCUGAGGCAUUGGGGUCCUUGCCAAGAGUCUGAGGCAUUGGGGUCCUUGCAGAGGCCACACCCACACAUUCACUCGGGACUUUGUCUGCUCCCUGCAGCAUAUAUGUGCGGAAGCGCCCAGUGCCACAGUCUUUCUAGAGUCAUUUCGUUUUCACUCAUCAAUGCACCCUGUUCAGUAUCCCGUGUUAACCGCAUCCAUCUGAAUGCCUGGAGGGUCGGGAAGCUGUCCGUCCUGGUCCCUGCCAGGCGCCUGGCACGGUGCUCUGCAACUGACGUGAGCUUUUUGCUAUGCUUACCCACAUCCAGAAUUAUAAUUCUCAUUGUGCCGACUGGAAACAGUGUGAAAGAGAGCAAGACGCCUUUGCACAAGGUCACCAGCCGGAAACAGGACCUGGGUGACAGAGCCAGAUGUCUCCCCACAUCUGCAGUGCUUCGAAGGCAGCGGGAGAAGCUGGGUAGGCAGGGAAGGAGCUCAUUCACUGCCUCAGGUGUUUUGCAGCAACAAGCAGGAGGUUUCCCUAGAGCCUGUCUGCUGGGAGCACAGCUUGGAAGCCGAGUGUGCAGAAACUGGUUUCUUCCUAACUCAGUAGCACCACCUACAGGCCCAGGGGGAGUGUUGCAAACGGAACCAAGAGCCUGGGCUCUGUGCCCCACUGGACUGACAUGCCAGAAGGGGUUUUUCAUCUUAAAGUAUCACAGAGUGAGACGGAGAGACGGACUAGCUCAGAGUUGCAAGGCAGAGACUGCAGAAUGGGAGAUAAACCCCUCUGACCCCUUCCAUCACCCUUCUUUUUCCAUCACCCCACUUUCCUCUUCCUCUUUCUUCCUCCUCCUCCUCUUUUUCCUUCCCUCCACUCCAUAUCUGUUACUGAGCACGUCAUAGGUCUUGGGCAUAGUCUUUUUCCUGGGAUAAUAAGUCUGGGUGGACAAGAUUUGCUCUCAAGGAUGACUGUUGAAUUGUUGAGUUGACACUGUAACUUCUCAGCUACGGCUGAGAUUCGUUGAGCAAGUGUCCCCACGUGCGAGGCCCUACCUGAGGGCUUCAUCUCACUGACUUCUCACAUUGAGGAGAUUUGGCCUCAGGGUAGCUUGGGAGCAUGCUCAGUGUGGCCCAGUAAGUGGUGGCGCUGUGGUCCAAACCCAGAUCCUUUGUAUCUCAGAACCAGAGAUGUCAACUUCGAUGCUGCACAUCUUCUCUAAGGGCUAACUCGAGAAGUAGGCUUUUUCUCGUAAACGUUUUGUUCUUUAACGUUUGCUUAUUCGGUGUCUGAGAGGGGUACAGGCCGUCUUCUCCAACUUCUUGCUUCUUAAUUCUGAGGGUUUCAUUGAGGUUCUGGUUACUGAACAAGGUUUUGGGGACAGAGAAGGGACUGACUCAGGUAGAAUCAUGGCCUUGUAGAUGUCAGCAUCAUAGAGUCAAGUGGUAAAUGUGUUUUAGUAGGCGCACUCCAUAACUCUGGGAAGGAUCCAGUCACACCAACAGGUAGAAGUGGCCCCUCCUGGUGUGUGCAGUGCAUCAUGAGUGCCUUAGACACAGAGUCCCUUAGAAACACCACCAAGUUCAAAGAGGCAAGAGAUGAGAACACCCAAGUCUGCCUCUACAGGGCGGGAGCUUCUACAUCUCAGGGCCCUGGGGAUCCUAGCAUCAUGAAGACCGGUUUCUGGCCCCCUCGCAGGAGGGCUGCUGUCAAGUUUUGAGGAAAUGAGUCUCUGUGUUCUGAGCUGUAGGGAAGGACAGCUAUUUUAGUUUCCAUUUCUUCCUUAGCUACUAGAUCGCAUUUCUUUCUAACUUCACAGGAAUCCUGCCUUUGUUCUCCUUUCUUUGGGGUCAAUGUCUGACUUCCAUGUGAGUGUGUGCGUGUGUGUGUUCGUGUGCGUGUGCCUCUGUGUGUGUGUGUUUCCUCAAAGAGAGCACACCAGCUUGUAGGUGUCACAUCAAAAGAGAGAAGAUCAGGUGUGGCUUAAGGAAUACGGUGACGUCUUUAGACAAGAGGGCCCCAUCACACGCAGGUGUCUUACACAAAGGGCAGUGCUACAUUGGGAGGGUUUUGAACACCUUUGCCCUCCUUGUCUUCUCCUUGAAUAUUUUCACUCCCCAAGGACACUGUUUGUGUGCGUGUCCUACAGGCACAUGUACACAGAUUUACGUGCUUAAUAGAGACAGACUUACCUCAGAGUUCUGCCAGGCCCACAAUGGGGUAAGGGAAAUCUAUCCCUCAAAAUCCAAAACUCUUUUCUCUUUCAAAAAUGGGACAUUUUUAAAGAUGCCAUGUUCCUCUGCCAAGACAUGAGUAACAGCAUAACAUAAUUUGUAACAGAAAGGGAGACAACCUGAGGUCCAGCCCCCCCCCCAAAGGCCCAACCAGCUGGUCUCACAGUUAAAUUUAUGUUAGGGUCCAGCCUUGGCCUCAUAGCUUUCUAUAAAUUACAGAUGGCCACAGGCACCUUCUCCGCGCCUGUUUGGUCACAAUGUGAAUAAGUCUGGUAAGGACAUCCUUCUGUAUUGCCCCCAGUGGAGGCUGAGGUGAGAGUCCCUGUCUUUCUUUACAUUAUAGAAGGGACGGUGCUUGCUGUUCUAAAUGUUGGAGCCAGGGCCGUCCUAAGCCAGCAGCAGAUCUGGGAGUCAAGUUCUUCUGGUUGGCCCUGGGAGAAAGGGCUCAUCGGGUCCUCAGUUUCUUAUCAGCUUAGAGCUCUGUCUCCUUUCUUUGCACACUGUGGAUUUAGUAGGUAUUGCUGAUCCCUGGGAACCAUCAACCGAGACAGCCUUGUUUCUGUGGGGAUUCUUUUGGGAGUGACUCCAGGUCUUGGGUGCCUCUGGUCCUGCCUCGCUGCUUUGCCAGUCUGGGUUAGGGGUGGCUGCAGCUCUUCCUGUCCUGCCUGGGUUGCUCGCCAUUUUCAACUCUCCCUUCCUUCUCAUCUUCUACCUGAAUUUCCUGUGGUUCCCAGUACUCAGAGUGGUUUCUGUUGACUUGGCUGGACUUUGCCUGAUGCAUUAUAACUUUUAUUGGUUUUCCCUUAUAACAGCCUGCAGUAAAGAUGAUGAUGAUGAUAGCGUUGGUGAUUUCCAUCCCUGCCUUGGUCUAUAACCUCACAUAUUACAAAGCUUUCACUCCGGUUCUGUAAUUUGAGUUUCGUAAUAACAGUGUGAUGUAAGAAAGGCAUUUAUCAUUAAUUCCACUUUAGAGAACGGGAAAUGAUUUCACUCUGUUCACACAGCUGCUGGCUCUGGAGAGAGAGCCGGAACCAGAUCUUUUGUAGACUUCCCUCACCCGAGUUAACCCUCUGUCUUCCACAGCCAUUCUGCCCACCCCAUGGGAAAAGGCUUUAUAUUCUGUCGAGUUUCGAUGGUGUUUUCCAGGGCACAGGGCACAGACCACAGGUCAAGGGAGACUGAGCUGUUUACUGUUGGAUAAUAAGUGAGACAAUGCUUGGUGGUUUGAAGCAGCUCCACUGGGAGCAAAUUAAAAUAUCAGAUCGGAAAAUGUUAAUGGAGGAUAAUUAAUGGAAUAAAAUUCCAUUAUGUAAAUGUACCACAUUUUCCUUAUCUCUUCAUCUGCUGAGGGACAUCCAGACUGGUUCCAGGCCUACAGUGUGACAAUCAACACGGAGGUGAAAGUGUCAUUGUGGUGUGUUGACUUAAAGCCUUUGGGGUAUAUACCCAGGACUCGUGUAGACUGAGUUACACGAUAGUUCCCCUUAUGGUUUCUUGAGCAAUCCUUACUUGGUUCCAUAGUGCCUGUACACCUUUAAUUGCCACCAGAAGGGAAUAAGGAAUAAGGGCUCCUCCUUUUCCACAUCUGCCAGCAUUUGCUGUCACCCUCUUCCUUCAUCAUGUCCAUUCUGACUGGGGCGACAUGAACUCUUCUUUUUCUGGGGGGGGGCAUGUUUCAAAACAGGGUUUCUCUGCGUAACAGCUCUGGCUGUCCUGGAACUCGCUCUGUAGAUCAGUCUGGCCUGGAACUCACGGAGCUCUGCUUGCCUCUGCCUCCCAAGUGCUGGGAUUAAAGGAGUGUGCCAUCGUAGCCCGGCUUCAAACUUGUCAAUUCUUAACCAUCAGAUAUUUGAAAAAUUAUCCUUACAUAAAAUAAACGGGGAUACAGUGUGUAAUUUAACAGAAACACUGCAACAUUUCUGAGGUAAUGAGACACACUUGCGAAACAAUUGUGGUUAAGUACAGCUGUGCCUAGGGCCAGACCCUUCCCCUACCUGGGCUGGGAGGAGUAUGAAGUCAUUGUCACCUGCUGGUGAUGGAACUGUAUUGGAAAAGACUGAGGCACAGUGGCUACCCUCAACGUGGGGACAUACUUUAGGCCCCGUGAUCUCUACGUCCUGGGGUUUGCGCCCUUGUGAUAGUCCCUCUUUUUGAUCAACUGAAGGAUUUCUGGCUUGUUCCUAAUCCCCAAAACAUGCCAAAGGCCACAGUGUCUCUCAGGUAAUUAUGUUAUGGUAUAUUAGACCUUGCCUUAUCAGGCUUUCUUAAGGACUGGGAAAAGCUAGCAGCCUUGUUGGGAAAUGAAGCCCAAGGAAAUUCAGGUGACACUUGAGUAGCCAGGAUGGCCUUUAGCAACCAUCAACAAAAAGCCAGGACCUUUCAAUGGAAUGGUUAUAAGAAACUAUAGUCUAUCAAUAACCUAAUCAGCCUGAAAGGCCAUUCUUUCCCAGCCGAGUCUCCAGAUGAGAAUACAGCCUGUCAGACAUUUUGAUUGUUGCUCAGCAAGACACAAAGCACAGAACCCACUUAUAUCAUACCUGAAAGAGACCCACAGAAACUGGGAAAACAGAUGUGUGCUGUACUAAACCUCCAGGUUUGUGGUUGGUUAUGAGGUAGACAACGACAGAAGAGAUCAAACACCCUGACCAGAAGGCACAUGGGGACAUCCACACCACCUCAAGACACAGCAAGUUUGACUAUACAUUUUUGUUUAAAAAAUUAUCUUUGUACGUUACUGAUAAACAUUUUCUGAAGGAUAAAAAGCCACCAGGGCGAGUUGAAGGCUGAGUGGGAACCUGGGAGAGCCCUCUUUGGCUGUGUUUGAAGUACACAACAGCUGUAGGGCUGGCUCAGUUGUACUCGGAGAUGGAGAAGAUCCUCGUGAGUAGGAGGGUCAGACCACUAAGGGAACAAGUCAGGGUGUGUGUGUGUGUGUGUGUGUGUGUGUGUGUGUGUGCUUCACCUCAGAUGAGGAUUGUGAGGGUUUCUGAGGACUAUGUGUGCCUUACCUACUCUUUCCUUGAAGUUUGUGAGCUGAAAGGAAAAAGGUCAGAGGGCAUGGUGGACAGUUGACACUGGGCCAAUCAAAGGUCAGCUCCCCCUUAGCACUGGGGAGCCUAAUUAAUCUGUUUCUGAACUCUUAGCUGUGGUUUGUCACAUACUCUUGUAGGACUCAGGUUCUACCAGUACAUUCCAAUUGGCCAACAAUAGUAUGAUAACUCAAGACAGUACUCUGGGCACAUCCUCUAUCCAACCAUCAAGAUAAAUAUACUUUUUAAUUCAGUAACUAAAAAAAAAGUCUAACAUUGAAUCUAUGGUUCACGGGAAGAACACUUGUCUAGCAUGCAUAAAGCCUGAUUUUCAGCCUCAAUGUAACAUGAAACAACAAAUAAUUUCACAAACUUAUGCCAAACAAGGAUGGAGCAGAUCGUGUUAGCAUGACUCAGUAAUGGUUGCCAGUGGUUGGUGGCAAUAAACAAAUCAUCGAAGUUUAAAUAAAGACAUGAUGCAAACUUGUAUUUGUUCAGAUUGGCUAGUGAGCCUUUCCCUAAUUCUGUUUGUCUUUCCAGGGAGACAGCACCCACAAUGCUAGGACCCAGUCAGCAGCUAAUGGGCCAGAAGGCCACUGGCAGAUGCAGAGCUGAGGAGAAAGUCUGUCAUGCCUGGAGCAUUGUGGGUAACUGGAAGGAAGUCUGAGCUGUGACUGGAAAGCCACAGCUGGCAGUUGGUUUGCUCUGAGAGCUCUCCACACGUGUGUCAACAUCUGCGUAACACUUAAAUUAUCUGAGUGUCUAACACACAAGGACCACGUUUGGGUUGCAUUUUCCAGAAAGAAGACCCUGAGCAGGGAUGCAGGAAUUCAUUUGGAGGUGACCUUAGGAAGUCCCAGUGAGGAGAUGAGGAGCCAUGUAGAGGGUGUAUGACCGAGUCAGCUGAUGCUGUGGGUUCCUGGGACUUAAUUAUACUGAGCAGUCAUGGUGGCAUAAUAGAGUUGCUAUCUUGGAAUCACCCCCACCUGGUGGCGAGAGGGCUCGUGCUCUAGAGGAUCGUCAUGCUCGCUCUUAGUCCUUCCUUAGUCAGUGUCACUACUGGAAACAUUAUUUCCCCCAUCUUCCAUGAGAGAUUCCCACACCCUUUCUAGUGACAAAGACCUCAAAUGAAGAGAUAGAGGGGCUUGGGGAGAGAAGGGAGAGGUAGCAAAUGACCACCCGACUGUAGUUGGCACGUGGAUGGGCCGUUGGGAUGAAGGCCAAAUAUCGACACACACGGUGCAAGCCUAAUAUCUGAGGGGAGUUACGGUCUGUGACAGGAGAUGAAAUGGGGGGUCGCAGGGGGGUCAGAAAACUGUAACAAUACUUGGACAAAGAUGCUGUGUGUUAGAUUGCCUUUGGAGAGAGGCCUAGAGGGACCCUCAAAGCCCCCAUAAGCGGGACCCAUGGCUGCGAUUCUGAAGCUUCUUGCUCUGCCAAGUGUCCUUUGGAUCAAGCCUGAUAAGUCAUCUUUUUUCCAAACAUGAUAGAUAAUUGAGAUGGUCAUGAAUUAGAGUGUUUGAUCUUUACAGUGUUCCACAUUUCCUGUAUUUUCCUUUCCAGGUGUUUAAUUUUUUUUUCUUAUACAGGAAUCUAAGCAAUGCUGAGAGUGAGGAAAAUAGUCUCCUCCAAAGAAAGAACACCAAUUGGUUAUCUAAUACCAAAUGGUCAUUCCUGAGAACAUGCAUGCAAGUAACAUUAUACAGACUGAGCAGGACGUAUUUAGAAAUAUAUAUACAUAUGUAAAUGUAUAUAUAUAUGUAUGUAUACAUAUAUAUAUCAUUGCUUUGAAUUUGAAAUUUGAAUCAGAAAUUUGAAAUAGAACAAGAGGUGCACACAGGAAGAUUUGGAUGGA